RNAcentral lists this ribosomal RNA (301 nucleotides) under uncultured bacterium. RNAcentral's name for it is "partial 16S ribosomal RNA". It matches the Rfam family "Bacterial small subunit ribosomal RNA", at positions 509 to 807 of the family's 1533-position model. The record is from RNAcentral.
CAGUCGCCGCGGGAAUACGGAGGGUGCAAGCGUUAAUCGGAAUUACUGGGCGUAAAGCGCACGCAGGCGGUCUGUCAAGUCAGAUGUGAAAUUCCCGGGCUUAACCUGGGAACUGCAUUUGAAACUGGCAGACUGGAGUCUUGUAGAGGGGGGUAGAAUUCCAGGUGUAGCGGUGAAAUGCGUAGAGAUCUGGAGGAAUACCGGUGGCGAAGGCGGCCCCCUGGACAAAGACUGACGCUCAGGUGCGAAAGCGUGGGGAGCAAACAGGAUUAGAUACCCCUGUAGUCCCUGUCUCUUAUAC